GACAGAGGGUGCAAACGUUGUUCGGAAUUACUGGGCGUAAAGCGAGUGUAGGCGGUUUGAUAAGUCGGAUGUGAAAGCCCCGGGCUCAACCCGGGAAGUGCACUCGAUACUGUCAAGCUAGAGUAUCGGAGAGGUUGGUGGAAUUCUCGGUGUAGAGGUGAAAUUCGUAGAUAUCGAGAGGAACACCGGUGGCGAAGGCGGCCUUCUGGACAGCAACUGACGCUGAGACGCGAAAGCGUGGGGAGCAAACAGG
This 253-nucleotide ribosomal RNA is filed under the name uncultured bacterium. Its description in RNAcentral is "partial 16S ribosomal RNA". It matches the Rfam family "Bacterial small subunit ribosomal RNA", at positions 524 to 776 of the family's 1533-position model. The record is from RNAcentral.